CAGUCGAACGGAGAUGAUAAAAGCUUGCUUUGAUCAUCUUAGUGGCGGACGGGCGAUUAACACGUGAGCAACCUGCCUUUCAGAGGGGGAUAACGUUUGGAAACGAACGCUAAUACCGCAUAACGUAUACGGAUGGCAUCAACUGUAUACCAAAGGAGCAAUCCGCUGAAAGAUGGGCUCGCGUCCGAUUAGCUAGAUGGUGAGGUAACGGCCCACCAUGGCGACGAUCGGUAGCCGGACUGAGAGGUUGACCGGCCACAUUGGGACUGAGACACGGCCCAGACUCCUACGGGAGGCAGCAGUGAGGGAUAUUGGGCAAUGGGGGAAACCCUGACCCAGCGACGCCGCGUGAGGGAAGACGGUCUUCGGAUUGUAAACCUCUGUCUUUGGGGACGAAAAAGGACGGUACCCAAGGAGGAAGCUCCGGCUAACUACGUGCCAGCAGCCGCGGUAAUACGUAGGGAGCGAGCGUUGUCCGGAAUUACUGGGUGUAAAGGGAGCGUAGGCGGGAAGGCAAGUUGGAUGUGAAAACUGUGGGCUCAACCGACAGACUGCAUUCAAAACUGUUUUUCUUGAGUGAAGUAGAGGCAAGCGGAAUUCCUAGUGUAGCGGUGAAAUGCGUAGAUAUUAGGAGGAACACCAGUGGCGAAGGCGGCUUGCUGGGCUUUUACUGACGCUGAGGCUCGAAAGUGUGGGGAGCAAACAGGAUUAGAUACCCUGGUAGUCCACACCGUAAACGAUGAUUACUAGGUGUGGGGGCGUCAAGCUUCCGUGCCGGAGUUAACACAAUAAGUAA
Molecule: ribosomal RNA, 796 nt
Filed under: uncultured bacterium
Lineage: Bacteria
Description: bacterial SSU rRNA
Rfam family: Bacterial small subunit ribosomal RNA
Source: RNAcentral